UAUUUUGUGCAACUUACAGACACAUCAUUGUUUUUCAUUUUUACCUUAUUCCUAGUGUAACUAAAGAAAGCUUAAUUAAAAAAAAAUUAUAAACUUCACUUUAAUUCUAUAGCAUUUAUCUGUUCAUAUCACAGAGUGAUAUGUGCCACAUAAUUCAUGUGCUUUUUUAAAAGUAUGCAUUCUUUGUAUUAUGCAUCUUGUUAGAUGUUAUGUUUUAUAAAUAUCACUUAGUUCAAGUUGGUUGGUGGGCUUUCCACUGCUCUUCCUAUUGUAGUCAAAUAUGCCAAAGAUAGCAGUAACUCAUAGAGCUCCUACAUAACACAUUUCCAGUAAACUGAGCAAAUAACCCACACUUAGCUUACUACAUUCCACUUUUACAUUAAUUUAACUAUUUCAAGGGAAAUUUCUAAAAUUUUUUAAAAUUUCUAAAAUUUUUUUAAUCAUGAUUAUUUUUAAUUGUUCAUUGCCACGAUAUCAACUUUCAUAUGUACAUAUAAAUAGUUACAGACCAUAAAUAACCAUAUGGCAAAAUAUUUUCCUCUAGCCAAAAAAGGAAAAACAAAUUUUUGCAAUAAAUAAGACUUAAUACUGAAGACAGAUAGAUGCUGAGGUAAUUUUUUAUCUAAAGGGACUUCACCCUACAUUGCAUUCUCACUCUGAGAACUAAAGUAGUUAAGAAACUCCUGUCUCAUAACAAAAUUACAAUACAUGUUUUCAAACCAAAUGAAAAAUAAUUACAAAUAGGUAAAUAAAUAAAAUUCCUGACUAAUUCAAUCAUGACAUUAUUUCUUUUUUAAGGUAUUUUUAGUUUUACUUUUAAUCAAUAAAGUGUAUAUAUUCAUGGGGUAAAAUGUGUUUUAAUACAUGGAUACAUUGUAGAAUUAUCAAAUCAGAAUUAGCAUAUCUGUCACUUCAAAUAUUUAUUCUUUCCAUGAGGUAAGAAAACAUGAAACUCCUUUAGUUAAUUUGAAAUAUACCUUAACUGUAGUCACCUUGUUCUACAAAAGAACACCAGAACUCAUUUCCAACUUUGCACUCUUUUCCCCACCCAACCCCCACACCCACAACCAGAUUUAGGUAACUGGUAUCCACCAUCCUACUGUCAGAAUUUGACUUUGGGCCCAGCGAAGUGGUGCAUACCUAUAAUCCCAGUGGUUCUGAAGACUGAGACAGGAGGAUGUGUUAUGCUUGAAUUCGGGACCCCCAAAAGACCACCAGAGAAAAAGAUCGAUGGUCUUGCUAAAUUGCUAAGAUUGGCCUCGAGCUUGCCAGUCUCCUGAGUCUCUGGGAUUACAAGUCUAUGAUCCAACACCCAGCAGCUCUCUUGGUUUAUGUGUGCUUAAAUAACAGCUGAAAAGGGAAGAAGAGAAAAAUUGGACAAAAGAAGAGAGAAAAAACAGAAAAGAAUAAUACACACCAAGGUCAAUGUAGACCAAGGUGAGCUAAUAAGGAAAAGUUUAAUUCCUUCUUUUUGAGAAGUAACAUGAAAGAGAGUUCUGACAGUAAUUCUGCUAAUUCAUCUUCAAAAGAAUCUAUUACCACAGAUUGAUGUGAGCACUCAAUCAUGGUCAAUGUAAACCAAGAUCUGCAAUUCAUCUGGAUAAAUUUAUUUCUUCAUUUGUGUUGUCAUGUGAAGGAAAGUAUUAGGAAUCAUUCAGUCUCUCAUCCUCAAGAGCCAGUGGUAUUUCUCACAAAGUAAGCAUUUUGCCUGAACAUACUUAUAUUCCUUGUAGAAACCACAAAGCUCCAACAGCACUGCAUUGUGGCAGCCAUGAAACUGGUCUACAUGAUUAAAGAUGUGGGUCAGUGUGUCUCAGUGUGAUUAAGGCUAAGUGAUCAGUGUCUGCCACAUACCUCAGGUACAGGGUCCCUUUUAUUCAAUGUGCCUGGAACUCAGUUAACUUACAAAAAUGGAUCUUGUUGGAAUCUGAACAAAAUGAAUGACCAAACCACUUCUGAAAACUGAGAUUUGGCACAGGGACCCUGCUAGGCAGAAAUUUGGGAGAAUUUCAGGUGUUCAACCAGUAGGUCUCACAGAUCUGAGGGAAAUUGAAAACUACCAAAUUGUAUAGAUUAGUUGAAAUGAAAUGGAUGUUUGUUUAUAGAUAUCCAAUUGUGGAAUAUAAGAGUUAGUCCUUUGUUAUUUCACUGGUAGCCUCUAUAUUCUGGGUUGGAGAUUAACACCUGAGUAGUGAACACUUUGGGAAACUAUUUUACCUAUACGUGAGUCGUUCUUCUCAUUGGGAAUAGUCUACUAAGGUCCUAGUAAAUGACCACUUAAAAGAUAUGAGGAGUUUUUAUUUGGGCUUUAUCACUUAAAUUAUAAAAGUAUUAUGGAACAUGUAAUUUUUGUUUUUCUUAAAGGGUAAUGACAUAUUUUAGUUUGAUCCUUCACAUGGUCACAAGCACAUAUUUUGUGUUACCUGUGUUUGGGGCUCAGUUUUCUACAUGCUUGAGGGAAGGAUUCCAAUCCUGCAAGAAGAAUUUAAACUAUAAAAUAAUUGUAUUAAUAUAUAUUUUGUGGACUGAUAUUCAUUCUUUCAACCAUUUUCUAUUUAAAUGGAUAUUUUAGUUUUAAUGAGUUAUCCUGAAAGAGACCUUCAGGAACACUUUGACACCAAUGUCUUAGGAAAAAAAAUUACCUUCUAUACUCUGUUCUAAUCAGUAAAUACAAUUUUUUGUCAUGUAGGUUGUCAAGUACAUAUCUAUGAUUGCUUUCUAGAAAUCUUUUAACAGUAAACAUUCAAUUGGGAAGGUAUUGUUCUUCAAUUUUCCUGACUUCUUCUGUACUUUGUAGUUGAAAGGAACAUUAGAAGCACUUAGAAUUAUUACUGCUAUAAUGGGACAUUGCCAUCAGUGACCCCAUCUUGGUUUAUUGUUGUUUCUAAUUACCAGGAUAUAUUCUUUAUACUGCAUCCUGGAGCAUCUUACCCUCAAGACAAAAGAAGCCUGUUAUUAGAAGUUUAUCACAUCUGAUCAGUGCUUUCUUAAUUCAUUCUCCUGGAAAAUGCUGGUUUUUGAAUGUUGUCCCUAAUUUAUUUCUCAUAUAUUCCCCAUAUCCAAAAAGACUUUAAGGUGAUAUCAGAGACAUUGAAAUGUAUGGCUCCUUCCAGAAUACUGACAUCCUCAAUGAAACCUAAUUUCUUUAUCCCAAAUGUGCAUCUCUCAGACAAUGGUUUUCUAUGUAGCAAGUUCCGAAUCUCAGGUUGGUAAUACAGCCACAACAUAGAGCUACUGAGCUAGCCACUUUUUAUCAACUUCUGUAUCUUGAAACGAUCAAAACACCAGUUUCUGAGACAACAUGACAAUUUCUGUG
Non-coding RNA from Ictidomys tridecemlineatus (thirteen-lined ground squirrel), 3316 nucleotides. The record is from RefSeq and is a predicted model, not a curated record. NCBI's taxonomy places the organism in Eukaryota, Metazoa, Chordata, Mammalia, Rodentia, Sciuridae.